AGGCCUUGCCGUAAUGGAAAGGGUGGUGGCUACCACCACAUCAAUUCGGUCCACGGAGAAGGGAUUGAACUGCUUGUCUGGCCGGCGCAUGAACUCAUGCUUGAGGAGGCUUAGCAACACUAGGCAGCACCCAUGGGAUCCGGAGACCAGAAGCACCCCCUGUCCAGAGAGGUCAGCAGUGAGGCUGCCAGGCCCACCUGUCAGAUUUCUAGAAGGGCAAGUAAGAAGAGGGGAUUGCUAGCCAAUACCCCUUCCCCAUGCCCAGCCCAGCCCAAUAAGCUCACUAGGAAGUGAAGAUCUCAUCUAUUUCUGGCCGAGGACAGAGGCUCAUGAGGAAGCUCUUGAAGACAGAUUCUGGGAGGUCCUCUGGAUUGAUAGUAUC
This is a long non-coding RNA of Heterocephalus glaber (naked mole-rat), 382 nucleotides long. RefSeq lists it as uncharacterized. The record is from RefSeq and is a predicted model, not a curated record. Lineage: Eukaryota; Metazoa; Chordata; Mammalia; Rodentia; Bathyergidae.